RNAcentral lists this ribosomal RNA (490 nucleotides) under uncultured Glomus. RNAcentral's name for it is "SSU rRNA". It matches the Rfam family "Eukaryotic small subunit ribosomal RNA", at positions 569 to 1063 of the family's 1831-position model. The record is from RNAcentral. Lineage: Eukaryota; Fungi; Glomeromycota; Glomeromycetes; Glomerales; Glomeraceae.
AGCAGCCGCGGUAAUUCCAGCUCCAAUAGCGUAUAUUAAAGUUGUUGCAGUUAAAAAGCUCGUAGUUGAAUUUCGGGAUCAAUACGUCGGUCAUGCUUUUUGGUACGAACUGGCGUCAUUGGUUUCUCCUUUCUGACGAACCAUGAUGUCAUUAAUUUGGUGUUAUGGGGAGUUGGGACUGUUACUUUGAAAAAUUAGAGUGUUUAAAGCAGGCAUAAGCUUGAAUACAUUAGCAUGGAAUAAUGAAAUAGGACGUUUGAUCCUAUUUUGUUGGUUUCUAGGAUCAACGUAAUGAUUAAUAGGGAUAGUUGGGGGCAUUAGUAUUCAAUUGUCAGAGGUGAAAUUCUUGGAUUUAUUGAAGACUAACUACUGCGAAAGCAUUUGCCAAGGAUGUUUUCAUUAAUCAAGAACGAAAGUUAGGGGAUCGAAGACGAUCAGAUACCGUCGUAGUCUUAACCAUAAACUAUGCCGACUAGGGAUCGGAUGAUGU